GGCUGAGCAGUGAGAAAGAGAGAGCAAUCCAUUACUUAAUCUUGCUGCCAUUCCAAGAUUGUUCCCUGCAGUAAAUUUUACAGCAGUUUGUCCAGGUUGGUUUUAAAACAUUCAAGUGAUGAGACUUCCACCAGUUUACUUGGGGGAGCUGUUUUACAGGCUAACAGACAUCACCAUUAGCACUAUUUCUUGUCACAUGCAUCAGCGGCUCUCCCAUAAAUAAUUGUUAACACUACAGCUACUCUAUGGGACCAGGAAAGGCAAAGGAAUACAAAUUGGGAGUCAAUAUUCAGAUGAAUAAGGAGAGGGAAAAAAAAAAAAAAAGAAUAAAAAUGUUUGGCUGCUCUGGGAACAUACAGGACUGAGCUGGUUUAUGAGCACUUGAGAAGGUGAAGAAGAGAUAACUGGUUACCCUGAAGAAAAGAGAAUUCAUCUGAUAGAGUUCAGUCACAGAGAGUUGCUGAGUUUGGCUAUGCCACCACAGCACACCUCUAAGUAAUUUACCUAAUGUAUAUAAUGGGGUAAAAGUCUAAUGAGGAAAGCCACUGCAGAGCAGCUUGGAGUCUUCUCUAUUAUGUCUGUUUAAUAUAUGGAAAUGGAUAUAUGACCAAGUGAGUAAUGUCUAAUUUUUUGUACCUCAGAUUAUUCUACUGAAAAGUCAUUUUCUGUUCCACAAUUUUUUUUUUUCUUUUGCAGAUGUCAGCAUCUGAAAAUAUGGGUGCAAGCUUGCAAUCCUGGAUGCAGUAAGAUCUGCAGUGUUCUGCACAAAGGAGAAAAGAACCUGACAUUCUACUUGGCAGCUAUAGUAAAUGGGGUUACCUUCCUUACAGUCUUCUCUGUACUCCCUUUCCUGGGACAACCAAGUAGCAGUGGUUGAUGGAGCUUAUCUUCCGUGAAGGAGUACAGCACUCCAGACUUCAGAAUAUUUCAAAGGAACUCGAUGGAAUCUUCUCCUUUAUCAAAGAGCUUGAAGGAAUUAUCUCCCCUGCCUCCUAAAACUGCAGGAUCCAACUGACUAACCUGACACUGUGGAGCAGCCUCCUUCAGCAAGGUAUUUAGUUCUGUGAUGGUGUCCUCCUUCACAGUAGAAGAAAUGUAGCUGCUCAUCGGUUUCUUGCCUGUUACAGCUCUGGGGUCACACUGGGCUAGGAUCUGGACCUCAGAUCAUCCUGACUCCUGAAACUACUUGUUACUGGCUGUCAUUACUCCUCCA
This 1213-nucleotide long non-coding RNA is filed under the name Coturnix japonica (Japanese quail). RNAcentral describes it as "lncRNA (ENSCJPG00005018182.1)". The record is from RNAcentral. Lineage: Eukaryota; Metazoa; Chordata; Aves; Galliformes; Phasianidae.